AACAAUUACUCUCUCUAUUUUCUCUACUCUUCUUCUUGUUCUUUCUUGUUUUUAUAACAGGAACUUAGAACCAGGAGUUGUAAGCUGCUAAUUUUCUUAAUAUUAUCUUGUAUCAUGCCGGAUAUAGAGUUUGAAACCUUAAGGGUAAUAUUUUGAAUAAAAAACUUCAAAUUAGCCACUGCAAUUUGGACUAAACCAAAUCAUAUGAAUUGUGCGAGCCUAAACGAUUUGCUCCAAUUAUGGGCCUACUUGUUUAUUUUUUUAGCAAAUCGUUCAAGUGUGAAUGAGGUGCUGUUCCUACUACUUUUCCCUUACUAUAGAUUAUGUAGAAGAAGAUUUAUUGUAUGCCAAAACGAGAUGUCAUCCAGCCAAAUGCCAACAACAUACAAAAUCAUAUUUAUGGCAAAACAAAAUCUCGGGUGUCAUAAUGUUGUACGUUAGUGGAUGACUUAAGUUACAAUUCCUGUCCAGUAGUACUUACAUGUAUUGCCAUUUACUCUAUAGAGUUAAUGGACAUUACAUUGGCAGAGAACGUGAGGCUAUGGCUCUUGUUGGAAUGUCACUUAAGAGCAUCUGAUUUUUAGAUAGCUAUGGAUGAAUUCAGUUAAUCAUUUUUCUUGAGAUUCAUGUAACUUCCCACCCUUUAUUUAUUCAUUUUCUAUCUUUAUGGCUUGUAAUUUUUGUCAUUUUCUAUCUUUAUGGCUUGUAAUUUUUGUAACCUAAAAGCCACUGAUAUUCCAUCUUUAUUACCCUUAUUCAUUAUUAUUUAUUGCAUGGAAGACUUUAUCUUCUAUAAAUAGAGGUGGUCUUGCAUAUUUUUCUUAUGUACAAGAAAAUAUAGAGUUUACAAAAGAUAGUAAAAAAGAGAGUUUAUUAAUUAAAGGGAGGCAUUUUUUGUGGAGCUUUUAACUCAACUCUUGUCCAGGGUUGUUGAGUUGUUUUUUGUGAGAAAGUUGUUGUAUCCUGGAGGAAAAAAUUCAAGAAUAUUACUAUUGGAUCGGUUGAUUCGUUCGUUGCAGUGGGCUUGAUUCUCCUUAAAUAGAGCGAGAUAUCUGCACCUCAACCAAAAAAAAGAUAUUAUUGUAUUUUCUUCAUUUCUUUUGUAUUUUUUUGUUGUAAUUUUUGUAAUAUUUCACCAAUAAUAUUAAGGAGAUUCAAUGAAAACAAUUGAAAAAUCAGGGGAUGUCAAGAUGGGAGAUCUUAGUAAGCCAUUUCGGCUUAACGGUACUCAUUUGAAGAGAUGCAAAGGUUAAGUGCUUUUAUACUUAAGUCUUCUUAAUGUUUCUUAUGUGUUAACUGAGGAGAAUCCAAACAAAGUAGAUAACUCUUCUAUGAAUGAAGACGAAUAUAUAUCUCUUCUUGAGAAAGUUAAAAAAUAGGAUGGUGACUCCUAGAAGUAGUAAGCAUGACACUGAGGAGGCGGAAGUGAAAAAAAUGUGGCUAGAAAUUUUUUUCAUUUUUAAAUGGUGGACAAAAAAUCAAUGGUAGACCAAGCUCAGGAAUUCAUAAUAAUUGUUAGAGAGCUCCAGUUCCAGGAAGUCAAAAUUGGAGAUAACCUUAUUGUUUGUGGCAUAAUAGAUAAGCUUCCACCUUCUUGGAAGGAAUUUCAAAAAACUAUACGCCACAAGUAAAGUAAACUUAUCUUGAGACUUUGA
This is a long non-coding RNA of Capsicum annuum, 1655 nucleotides long. RefSeq lists it as uncharacterized. The transcript has 2 exons. The record is from RefSeq and is a predicted model, not a curated record. Lineage: Eukaryota; Viridiplantae; Streptophyta; Magnoliopsida; Solanales; Solanaceae.